This 497-nucleotide ribosomal RNA is filed under the name uncultured bacterium. RNAcentral describes it as "partial 16S ribosomal RNA". It matches the Rfam family "Bacterial small subunit ribosomal RNA", at positions 28 to 507 of the family's 1533-position model. The record is from RNAcentral.
GAUGAACGCUGGCGGCGUGCCUAAUACAUGCAAGUCGAGCGAACAGAUAAGGAGCUUGCUCCUUUGACGUUAGCGGCGGACGGGUGAGUAACACGUGGGUAACCUACCUAUAAGACUGGGAUAACUUCGGGAAACCGGAGCUAAUACCGGAUAAUAUUUCGAACCGCAUGGUUCGAUAGUGAAAGAUGGUUUUGCUAUCACUUAUAGAUGGACCCGCGCCGUAUUAGCUAGUUGGUAAGGUAACGGCUUACCAAGGCGACGAUACGUAGCCGACCUGAGAGGGUGAUCGGCCACACUGGAACUGAGACACGGUCCAGACUCCUACGGGAGGCAGCAGUAGGGAAUCUUCCGCAAAGGGCGAAGGCCUGACGGAGCAACGCCGCGUGAGUGAUGAAGGUCUUCGGAUCGUAAAACUCUGUUAUUAGGGAAGAACAUACGUGUAAGUAACUGUGCACGUCUUGACGGUACCUAAUCAGAAAGCCACGGCUAACUACGUG